This 575-nucleotide long non-coding RNA is filed under the name Marmota monax (woodchuck). Lineage: Eukaryota; Metazoa; Chordata; Mammalia; Rodentia; Sciuridae. The record is from RNAcentral.
ACUGGAGAUAUAUAUAUAUAUAUAUAUUUAUUUAUUCAUUCUCACACACACACACACACAUAUAUACAUGAAUAUAUGAAUGCAUGCAUUGCCUGAACAUCACCCUAAGCAAUUAUGAAUUUGGAGCAGAGCCCUGACAUCCAUUAUUCAUAACAAAUUUGUUUUUAUUCUUAUGAUGCAGUAAUGAGGAAAGAUCCCGUUUUAGAAAUCUGAAGUUUAACUUGGUUAGUUGUUGCUAUAGCUGAACAGUUUAUCUGAGUAGGUAAUUUAAUCUGGAGCUUCUCAAACAUGCAUAUAUAUCAACUGGAAUCUUGUAAAACACAAACUUAUAAAUCAGCAUGUCUGGCCAAGCACAGUGGCACAUAUCUGUAAUACCAGCAGCCUCGGAGGCUAAGGCAGGAAGAACUCAAGUUCAAGGCCAGCCUCUUCAAUGGAGAGAUGCUAAGCAAUUCAGUGAAACCCUGUAAAUAAAAUACAAAAUGGGACUGGGAGUGUGACUCAGUGGCCAAGUACUCCUGAGUUCAAACUCCUGUACCCUCCUCUUACAAAAAACAAAUCAGCGUGUCUGAGUAGAG